AUCCAGUUGACGAGUCCCAAAUAGGACGAAGCGUGCGCCCUGGAU
Molecule: non-coding RNA, 45 nt
Organism: Schistosoma margrebowiei
Lineage: Eukaryota; Metazoa; Platyhelminthes; Trematoda; Strigeidida; Schistosomatidae
Source: Rfam